This 779-nucleotide non-coding RNA is filed under the name Papilio maraho. The record is from RNAcentral. Lineage: Eukaryota; Metazoa; Arthropoda; Insecta; Lepidoptera; Papilionidae.
AAUAAAUUUUUUAUGAUUUAUAAAGUUUAAUUUAAAUUUGUUUUACAUGUAAAUUUUAACAUUGAUUUUUAAUUAUUUUAAUAAUUUUUAAUUUUUUAUUCUAGCAGUAAUUAAUAUUAAAAAUUUAAGAAAUUAAGAUUUAGUAAUAUUUAUAUAUUAUUAACAAAUUUUGUGCCAGCAGUUGCGGUUAAACAAAAAAUGAUUUAAAUUUUAUUAGUAAAUAAUAAAUAUUAUUUAAAAAUAAAAUAUUUAAUUAUUAGGUGAAAUUUUAAUUAAAUUAAAAUUUUAUUUAAUUAUAUGAUUUAUUAAAUUUUUUUAAAAAACUAGAAUUAGAUACUCUAUUAUUAAAAAUUAAAUUAAAAUACUAAAAUAGUAUGUAAUUAUUUAUAAAAAUUUAAAUAAUUUGGCGGUAUUUUAGUUCAUUUAGAGGAAUCUGUUUAUUAAUUGAUAAUCCACGAAUAAAUUUACUUAAUUUUAUUUAUUUUGUAUAUCGUUAUUAUAAAAAUAUUUUUUAAGGGGAAUAAUAUUUAAAAAUUUAAAAAUUAAAUUAAUUUAAAUCAAGAUGCAGAUUAUAAUUAAGAAUAAAAUGGAUUACAAUAAAAAUAAUUAAAUGGAUAAUAUGUUUUAAUAUAUAUUUAAAAGUGGAUUUAAAUGUAAUUUUAUUUAAUUUAUUAAAAUGAUUAAAAAUUGAAAUAUGUACAUAUUGCCCGUCGCUUUCAUUAAUAAAUUGGAAUAAGUCGUAACAAAGUAGAGGUACUGGAAAGUGUUUCUAGAAAGAA